GCGCCUGUAGCUCAGAUUGGACAGAGCGACCGCCUCCUAAGCGGUAGGUAGCCGGUUCGACUCCGGCCAGGCGCA
This 75-nucleotide transfer RNA is filed under the name Omnitrophica WOR_2 bacterium GWA2_45_18. RNAcentral describes it as "tRNA-Arg". It matches the Rfam family "tRNA". Rfam says of the family: Transfer RNA (tRNA) molecules are approximately 80 nucleotides in length. The record is from RNAcentral. Lineage: Bacteria; Pseudomonadati; Candidatus Omnitrophota. RNAcentral also lists the same sequence under 2 other names.